AGAGUUUGAUCCUGGCUCAGGAUGAACGCUAGCGAUAGGCCUAACACAUGCAAGUCGAGGGGCAGCACAUGACGUAGCAAUACAGAUGGUGGCGAC
RNAcentral lists this ribosomal RNA (96 nucleotides) under uncultured bacterium. RNAcentral's name for it is "partial 16S ribosomal RNA". The record is from RNAcentral.